Molecule: transfer RNA, 72 nt
Filed under: Bos taurus (domestic cattle)
Lineage: Eukaryota; Metazoa; Chordata; Mammalia; Artiodactyla; Bovidae
Also listed under: 2 other names
Rfam family: tRNA
About the family: Transfer RNA (tRNA) molecules are approximately 80 nucleotides in length. Their secondary structure includes four short double-helical elements and three loops (D, anti-codon, and T loops). Further hydrogen bonds mediate the characteristic L-shaped molecular structure. tRNAs have two regions of fundamental functional importance: the anti-codon, which is responsible for specific mRNA codon recognition, and the 3' end, to which the tRNAs corresponding amino acid is attached (by aminoacyl-tRNA synthetases). tRNAs cope with the degeneracy of the genetic code in two manners: having more than one tRNA (with a specific anti-codon) for a particular amino acid; and 'wobble' base-pairing, i.e. permitting non-standard base-pairing at the 3rd anti-codon position.
Source: Rfam by way of RNAcentral
UCCCUGGUGGCUCAGAGGUUAAAGCAUCUGCCUGCAAUACGGGAGAUCUGGGUUCAAUCCCUGGCUUGGGAA